RNAcentral lists this unclassified non-coding RNA (316 nucleotides) under Hevea brasiliensis (rubber tree). The record is from RNAcentral. Lineage: Eukaryota; Viridiplantae; Streptophyta; Magnoliopsida; Malpighiales; Euphorbiaceae.
UGAUAUUGCACAACAUAUAUUGUAACUGAAACUGAAAACAACAAAAAAAAAUACUCAUUUUAAUGGCAUGGAUCUUUACAAAUUUGGGGAAAACAGAGUCGGAAGUUUUAUGGGAUAGAGUGAAAAUCAUAAUUUUCACCAAACCUUGUAUCCAAGCUACAACACUCACUCCCAUGCAAGGAAAAAAUAAACCCCAACAAUUAAUCUGUAACAUCAAAGCAAACACACCAGGGGAAAAAGGAUAAGCAGAAUCUGUGGAAAUUGAAAAAGAAAAACACAGGAAUGGAGGUUAGAUGUCCUUUUAUUAUUGCUUCUA